This 449-nucleotide ribosomal RNA is filed under the name uncultured bacterium. RNAcentral describes it as "partial 16S ribosomal RNA". It matches the Rfam family "Bacterial small subunit ribosomal RNA", at positions 29 to 523 of the family's 1533-position model. The record is from RNAcentral.
AACGUACGCUGGCGGCACGCCUAACACAUGCAAGUCGAACGCAGUAGCAAUACUGAGUGGCAGACGGGUGAGUAACACGUGGGAAUCUGCCUUGUGGUUCAGGACAACAUUGGGAAACCGAUGCUAAUACUGGAUAAGCCCUUACGGGGAAAGUUUUAAUGCCAUAAGAUGAGCCCGCAUUUGAUUAGUUAGUUGGUGAGGUUAUGGCUCACCAAGACAAUGAUCAAUAGCUGAUCUGAGAGGAUGAUCAGCCACACUGGGACUGAGACACGGCCCAGACUCCUACGGGAGGCAGCAGUGGGGAAUCUUGCACAAUGGAGAAAACUCUGAUGCAGCGAUGCCGCGUGAGUGAAGAAGGCCUUUGGGUUGUAAAGCUCUUUUGUAGGGGAAGAUAAUGACUGUACCCUAAGAAUAAGGUCCGGCUGACUUCGUGCCAGCAGCCGCGGUAA